Long non-coding RNA from Fundulus heteroclitus (mummichog), 270 nucleotides. RefSeq lists it as uncharacterized. The transcript has 3 exons. NCBI's taxonomy places the organism in Eukaryota, Metazoa, Chordata, Actinopteri, Cyprinodontiformes, Fundulidae. The record is from RefSeq and is a predicted model, not a curated record.
ACUAACCUAAACAUAGAAAGCAAACUUCUACUGUUUAUAUAUCUAGGGACAACUCUGGCGGUAUCCGCACGUGCAGCAGUCAGGACAGAGCCGCGGUUUUCGCCACAACAAACGACAUGUUUACUGUUUCGCAGACUUAAAAAAAGAACAACAACACAGCUGCUCUACAUGGAGCAACUGCGAACAGGAAGGACUCCCGGCACGGCAGCGCCGAGCGCGUGAAGCUUCCGGGUUACCGGGGCAACGAACUGGAAUGGAUAUUUAAAGGCG